This 697-nucleotide non-coding RNA is filed under the name Pan troglodytes (chimpanzee). Lineage: Eukaryota; Metazoa; Chordata; Mammalia; Primates; Hominidae. The record is from RNAcentral.
CUCUCCUCCCGAAACCAGUCUCUCCCUCUUAACUCCAUACAGUAAGCAAGGCCCGGUAAGAAGUUGGGUUUCCCUGCCAUCCUUCCUGCCCCAGCCCCUCAUCCUCAACUCACCAUCAACCCUUCCACGAUCCCAAAUUGCUCGUGGAUGACUUUGGCGAGGGGAGCCAAACAGUUGGUGGUGCAGGACGCGUUGCUGAAACAGCCAAGGUGUGCACGGACACUGUGAGCCCUGACAACCUCGCCACGAACCCUCCUAGACCCUCAGCUCCUACAAUAGGAAGCUGGCUGCCAAAGGCCAGGAGAGUCCCUGAAGACAGACACUGCAUUAAAGAAAAAGCUCCUGGAGGACUCCUGAAGCCUGAGGCAGCCUUGGGGCGGCAGUGGCUCAUGGUUUACAUUAGAAAGGUUUAUCAUGAGUAACCAGGUGCUUUGCUUCUGUGAUUCUCGGCCAGUGUAGGUCUGUUUCCUUUGCCAUUGAGCCUGCUCCUCUCAAUGGGGGUUCAAUCAAUGUUUGUGGGGUUUGUUUGUUUUGAGACAGGGUCUUCCUCUGUCGCCCAGGCUGGAGUGCAGUGGUGCAAUCAGAGCUCACCGCAGCCUUGAUCUUCCUGGCUCCGGCCAUCCUCCUGCCUUGGCCUCCCGAGUAGCUGGGAAUACAGGCGCACGCCACCAUGCCCAGCUAAUUUUUAAAUUUUUUU